RNAcentral lists this unclassified non-coding RNA (762 nucleotides) under Hevea brasiliensis (rubber tree). The record is from RNAcentral. Lineage: Eukaryota; Viridiplantae; Streptophyta; Magnoliopsida; Malpighiales; Euphorbiaceae.
AAUUUGUAAUUAGAACACCCAAUCCCAUGUUGAUAGCAACCUUGUAAAAAGUUAAUUCUAGGCAAUUAUACUUAUUUUAUCAACACAUCAUCAUCACUAAGGCAUAAGGUAAAAGCAUCCAACAGUGCAAGUAGAACAAACUAAUAUAUAUAUGUAAAGAAGCCUUGGGCCCCUAAUAUGCAUGCCGUAAUGCCAAGGUGACCCUUAAGGGUGCAUCACAAGGAAGAAGCCUGGCCUGAGACCAUUAGGGGCAAGACACAAUAUUGACAUUUAUGAUUUAACCAAUUGACUACAAGAUCUUCACAAGGAACAGAUUUCUGGCAGCACAGUUCCCUGUACUAUAAGCAGUUUGAAAACAAGGGGCUGAAAUAGUAUAUACUCUGCUGUACGUUAAAAGGUUCAGGUAAUAUUCAACAAAAGCCUGAUGAUAAGUCCAAGUGACGAACACAAUCUUUGGUGCCCGCAAUUUGCCAUUGGCCAUGGACAAAAUUAUAUGCACAAGAAAGUCUCAAUCAUCAACUGAAAUGCAGUAAAACAAAGGUAAGUCCUCCCAAAGCAGGGUGUCAUCAUGAUUUUUAUCACAUCUUUCCCCAUAAAAAGCUAUGCUAGCAAAGCCAAAAUGAAGUUGUGGGAGAGAUGAUCUAAGAACAGCUUUUGAUGAAGUGGCUGCUCUUGGCAAUUCCACUCAGCAGCCAAAGGAUUCCGCUUUUUUGGCCCUUUUUUUCUACUUUUUAAUAUGUGGCAUAUAUCUUAUGUAAAAAU